AGAGUUUGAUCCUGGCUCAGGAUGAACGCUGGCGGCGUGCUUAACACAUGCAAGUCGAACGGGCUCAUAUUGAAACCUAGUGAUUUAUGAGUUAGUGGCGGACGGGUGAGUAACGCGUGGAAAACCUGCCGUAUACUGGGGGAUAACACUUAGAAAUAGGUGCUAAUACCGCAUAAGCGCACAGCUUCGCACGAAGUGGUGUGAAAAACUCCGGUGGUAUACGAUGGUUCCGCGUCUGAUUAGCUUGUUGGCGGGGUAAUGGCUCACCAAGGCGACGAUCAGUAGCCGGCCUGAGAGGGUGAACGGCCACAUUGGGACUGAGACACGGCCCAAACUCCUACGGGAGGCAGCAGUGGGGAAUAUUGCACAAUGGGGGAAACCCUGAUGCAGCGACGCCGCGUGAGUGAAGAAGUAUUUCGGUAUGUAAAGCUCUAUCAGCAGGGAAGAAAUAGCGACCUUUGGGUCGCCAGACGGUACCUGAUUAAGAAGCCCCGGCUAACUACGUGCCAGCAGCCGCGGUAAUACGUAGGGGGCAAGCGUUAUCCGGAUUUACUGGGUGUAAAGGGAGCGUAGACGGUAGCACAAGUCUGAAGUGAAAUGCCGGGGCUUAACCUCGGAACUGCUUUGGAAACUGUGCAGCUAGAGUGCAGGAGAGGUAAGUGGAAUUCCUAGUGUAGCGGUGAAAUGCGUAGAUAUUAGGAGGAACACCAGUGGCGAAGGCGGCUUACUGGACUGUAACUGACGUUGAGGCUCGAAAGCGUGGGGAGCAAACAGGAUUAGAUACCCUGGUAGUCCACGCUGUAAACGAUGAUUACUAGGUGUUGGG
RNAcentral lists this ribosomal RNA (826 nucleotides) under uncultured bacterium. RNAcentral's name for it is "bacterial SSU rRNA". It matches the Rfam family "Bacterial small subunit ribosomal RNA", at positions 8 to 827 of the family's 1533-position model. The record is from RNAcentral.